GGUUCCGUAGUGUAGGGGUUUUCACGUUCCCUUCACACGGGGAAAGGUCUCCCGGGUUUGAUCCCGGGCGGAACCA
Molecule: non-coding RNA, 76 nt
Organism: Trichonephila inaurata madagascariensis
Lineage: Eukaryota; Metazoa; Arthropoda; Arachnida; Araneae; Nephilidae
Source: the annotation of a GenBank genome assembly